GGGGAUUUAGCUCAGUGGUAGAGCGCUUGCCUAGCAAGCACAAUGCCCUGGGUUCAGUCCCCAGCUCCG
Rattus norvegicus (Norway rat) is the source of this 69-nucleotide non-coding RNA. NCBI's taxonomy places the organism in Eukaryota, Metazoa, Chordata, Mammalia, Rodentia, Muridae. The record is from Rfam.